AUGCCUAGGGGUAGAUGUAAGGGGAAGGGGGCAGGAGCAGAGCCCCUAGCCUGCUGGACCAGCUUAGCCAGCAGCCCCGCUGAGCUCUGAAGAAAUUGUUUCUAGGUUCUAACUGGGGUCUCUCCUGCAGUACUCACAGCUUCUGAUGGGUGAGGGAAGAGAAGGGAGAGGACCCACUCCAUCAGAUCCUCAGUUGGCUCCCUUCCCCCGUUCAAGGUUCUAUCUGGAGCUCCCAGGCCCAGCCCUGUCCGGAGCGUACCUUGAAGGGCAGCGGUCCUUCCGGAGUGCAGGACUGUGCUUCGGGCCUGCAGCCUGAUAGGAAGCCUGGGGACAGCGAAGCGGAGCGAUAAAGCAUCAGCACGAAGACAGCAAGAGCAAUUGCGUGUCGGAACCAGCGCCGCAGAGCCGGGGGCGGCGGCGCGACCCCCAUAGCUGCUGCUGCAACACCAGCCUAGAGACUGUCGGUGUCCCCUCGACUCCACGGAAAAGAAGCCUGCGGUCCCCUAACGCGCAAAGGGUUAAUAAUUAACCUGUUAAGGCCCCCUUCCCUGUGUCCUUUGCCCUAGAGGGCAGCUAGCUACCCCGGGAUGAGGGACAGAAUAAAGAUUUGGGGGUUUUGACAGCA
Non-coding RNA from Heterocephalus glaber (naked mole-rat), 625 nucleotides. The record is from RefSeq and is a predicted model, not a curated record. Lineage: Eukaryota; Metazoa; Chordata; Mammalia; Rodentia; Bathyergidae.